AUUGAACGCUGGCGGCAUGCUUUACACAUGCAAGUCGAACGGCAGCGCGGUCUUCGUCUUGCUGGCGAGGGGCGGACGGGUGGGUAAUACAUCGGAACGUGCCCCGUCGUGGGGGAUAGAACGCCGAAAGCCCGAUUAAUACCGCAGACGAUCCGGGGGCGAAAGCGGGGGACAUUCGGAACACGCGCUGCUGCAGAGGACGAUGGUACGUUAGCUGGUUUGGGGGGUAAAGGCAUAGCAAGCCAACGCUCCGUAGCUGGUCUGAGGGGACGACCAGACAAUCUGGGACUGAGAAACGGCGACGCCGCCUACGGGAGGAAGGAGUGGGGAAGUUUGGACAAUGGGCGAAAGCCUGAACCAGUAAUGCAGCGUGUGUGCUGAAGGCCUUAGGGUUGUAAAGCUCUUAUGGCGGGAAGGAAAAGAACUGUGCCAAUACCACGGUUCGAUGACGGUACCCGAAGAGUAAGCCCCGGCUAACUACGUG
Molecule: ribosomal RNA, 484 nt
Filed under: uncultured bacterium
Lineage: Bacteria
Description: partial 16S ribosomal RNA
Rfam family: Bacterial small subunit ribosomal RNA
Source: RNAcentral